Molecule: long non-coding RNA, 393 nt
Organism: Erinaceus europaeus (western European hedgehog)
Lineage: Eukaryota; Metazoa; Chordata; Mammalia; Eulipotyphla; Erinaceidae
Exons: 2
Source: RefSeq, a predicted model, not a curated record
GGGCAGUGCAGACAAAAUGCAUUUUGAGGCUCUUUAAAAAAUCAGCAUCGGGAGUCGGGCUUAGUAGCGCAGCAGGUUAAGCACAGGUGGCGUAAAGUGCAAGGACUGGCACAAGGAUCCUGGUUUGAGCCUCUGGCUUCCCACCUGCAGGGAAGUCACUUCACAAGUGGUGAAGCAGGUCUGUAGGUGUCUGUCUUUCUCUUCCCCUCUCCAUCUUCCCCUCCUCUCUCCAUUUCUCUCUGUCCUAUCUAACAACAACAUCAAUAACAAUAACAGUAGUAACUACAACAAUGAAACAACAAGGGCAACAAAAUGGAAUAAGUAAAUAAAUAAAUAUUUUUAAAAAGUAAAAAAAAAAAAAAUCAGUGUCAUGCAUAGUGACUUGUGGACGAA